AACCGGAGAAGUGCAUCGGAAACUGGGAGACUUGAGUGCAGAAGAGGACAGUGGAACUCCAUGUGUAGCGGUGGAAUGCGUAGAUAUAUGGAAGAACACCAGUGGCGAAGGCGGCUGUCUAGUCUGUAACUGACGCUGAGGCUCGAAAGCAUGGGUAGCGAACAGGAUUAGAUACCCUGGUAGUCCAUGCCGUAAACGAUGAGUGCUAAGUGUUGGAGGGUUUCCGCCCUUCAGUGCUGCAGCUAACGCAUUAAGCACUCCGCCUGGGGAGUACGACCGCAAGGUUGAAACUCAAAGGAAUUGACGGGGGCCCGCACAAGCGGUGGAGCAUGUGGUUUAAUUCGAAGCUACGCGAAGAACCUUACCAGGUCUUGACAUCUUCUGCCAAUCUUAGAGAUAAGACGUUCCCUUCGGGGACAGAAUGACAGGUGGUGCAUGGUUGUCGUCAGCUCGUGUCGUGAGAUGUUGGGUUAAGUCCCGCAACGAGCGCAACCCUUAUUAUCAGUUGCCAGCAUUCAGUUGGGCACUCUGGUGAGACUGCCGGUGACAAACCGGAGGAAGGUGGGGAUGACGUCAAAUCAUCAUGCCCCUUAUGACCUGGGCUACACACGUGCUACAAUGGACGGUACAACGAGUCGCGAAGUCGUGAGGCUAAGCUAAUCUCUUAAAGCCGUUCUCAGUUCGGAUUGUAGGCUGCAACUCGCCUACAUGAAGUUGGAAUCGCUAGUAAUCGCGGAUCAGCAUGCCGCGGUGAAUACGUUCCCGGGCCUUGUACACACCGCCCGUCACACCAUGAGAGUUUGUAACACCCAAAGCCGGUGAGAUAACCUUCGGG
This 835-nucleotide ribosomal RNA is filed under the name Levilactobacillus brevis. Its description in RNAcentral is "bacterial SSU rRNA". It matches the Rfam family "Bacterial small subunit ribosomal RNA", at positions 611 to 1446 of the family's 1533-position model. Lineage: Bacteria; Bacillati; Bacillota; Bacilli; Lactobacillales; Lactobacillaceae. The record is from RNAcentral.